AACGUAGGAGGCGAGCGUUAUCCGGAUUUACUGGGCGUAAAGCGCGUGCAGGCGGUUCGGCAAGUUGGAUGUGAAAGCUCCUGGCUCAACUAGGAGAGGUCGUUCAAAACUACCGAACUUGAGGGCAUCAGAGGAAAGUGGAAUUCCCGGUGUAGUGGUGAAAUGCGUAGAUAUCGGGAGGAACACCAGUGGCGAAAGCGACUUUCUGGGAUGCAUCUGACGCUCAGACGCGAAAGCUAGGGUAGCAAACGGG
RNAcentral lists this ribosomal RNA (253 nucleotides) under uncultured bacterium. RNAcentral's name for it is "partial 16S ribosomal RNA". It matches the Rfam family "Bacterial small subunit ribosomal RNA", at positions 524 to 776 of the family's 1533-position model. The record is from RNAcentral.